CCUAUUCANGCCUUGUUGGGGGGGAAAGGGCCUACCCAAGGCGUCAACGGGUACCCGGCCUGAAAGGGUGUACGGCACAUUUGGAACUGAAACACGGCCCAAACCCCUACGGGAGGCACCAGUGGGGAAAUAUUGCACAAGGGGCCCAACCCUGAUGCACCGACCCCCCGUGGGGGAAUGACGGCCUUCGGGUUGUAAACUCCUUUCCCUAGGGACAAACCCUUUUAGGUGACGGUACCUGGAGAAGAACCACCGGCUAACUACGUGCCAGCAGCCGCGGUAAUACAUAGGGUGCGAGCGUUGUCCGGAAUUACUGCGCGUAAAGAGCUCGUAGGUGGUUUGUCGCGUCGUCUGUGAAAUCCCGGGGCUUAACUUCGGGCGUGCAGGCGAUACGGGCAUAACUUGAGUGCUGUAGGGGAGACUGGAAUUCCUGGUGUAGCGAUGAAAUGCGCAGAUAUCAGGAGGAACACCAAUGGCGAAGGCAGGUCUCUGGGCAGUAACUGACGCUGAGGAGCGAAAGCAUGGGUAGCGAACAGGAUUAGAUACCCUGGUAGUCCAUGCCGUAAACGGUGGGCGCUAGGUGUAGGCGUCUUCCACGACUUCUGUGCCGCAGCUAACGCAUUAAGCGCCCCGCCUGAGGAGUACGGCCGCAAGGCUAAAACUCAAAGGAAUUGACGGGGGCCCGCACAAGCGGCGGAGCAUGUGGAUUAAUUCGAUGCAACGCGAAGAACCUUACCUGGGCUUGACAUGGACCGGAUCGGCGUAGAGAUACGUUUUCCCUUGUGGUCGGUUCACAGGUGGUGCAUGGUUGUCGUCAGCUCGUGUCGUGAGAUGUUGGGUUAAGUACCGCAACGAGCGCAACCCUUGUCUUAUGUUGCCAGCACAUCGUGACUGAGCUCGAUACUCAUGAUGAGACUGACGGGGUUAACUCGGAGGAAGGUGGGGAUGACGUCAAAUCAUCAUGCCCCUUAUGUCCAGGGCUUCACACAUGCUACAAUGGUCGGUACAGCGAGUUGCCACACCGUGAGGUGGAGCUAAUCUCUUAAAGCCGGCCUCAGUUCGGAUUGGGGUCUGCAACUCGACCCCAUGAAGUCGGAGUCGCUAGUAAUCGCAGAUCAGCAACGCUGCGGUGAAUACGUUCCCGGGCCUUGUACACACCGCCCGUCACGUCAUGAAAGUUGGUAACACCCGAAGCCAGUGGCCCAACCUUUUAGGGGGAGCNUCGAAGUGAUCGGAAGU
Molecule: ribosomal RNA, 1239 nt
Filed under: Corynebacterium glutamicum
Lineage: Bacteria; Bacillati; Actinomycetota; Actinomycetes; Mycobacteriales; Corynebacteriaceae
Description: bacterial SSU rRNA
Rfam family: Bacterial small subunit ribosomal RNA
Source: RNAcentral